GCAGACAGAAGGGAAAGUUCUGUGCCAACGGUGGUUUUUCCGAGUGUUGUUGGAUACAUCGACGGGACGCAUAUCCACAUUCAGGCGGCGAAAAUAAUGAGCACCAGUACGUGAAUGGAAAAUAUUUUCAUUCACUGAAUGUUCAGGUUAAUGUUUAUCAACGUGCUUGCAAAGUGGCAUCCAGGGUGUCUGCAGCCUUUGGAAGCAACUGUAGACUAUUGGACCGGGUCAUGCUAGGUGACAGUAGCUGCAUGAUAGGAGAGUGAUUGUUGACACCAUUUCAGCAUCCUGCACCCUUGCAGGAAAGGAAAUACAACACAGCACAUAGCUGUACAUGCAACUGGCAUAGCUAAAAAGAGAUGGGAUUGUCUCUAGGGUCUGAAGAUGGAACCAGAUCAGGCAUGUGAAGUGACUGUGUUCUCAAUCGGGGAGAGCCAGACAAUGAUGGCGACAAUAAUGAUGUUGGACAUAACAAUGAUUUAAAUAAUGAAAAUCACUACAAUAAAAUCAAUGACACUGUUUCAGAACAUGAUGCUCCCACAGAAAGAGCCCAUGUUGCAGCAGGCCAAGCUGUCAGGAACCAAUCUGUUUAUAGACUUUUCUUGUAAAUAUGUUAAACCAGAAUUUUAUACAUUUCAGAACUAUUUUGAUAACGAAGUUAGAACAUCAACAAUAGACAUAGUCAACAUGCAGUUUAAAUGUAGGCCCAACAUGUGUUACAACAGGUCAAGCUGCUAGUAUCCAGUUUAUAAGUAGAUUUUUCUUGUGAAUAUAUCAUAAUUUUAUACUUUUCUGUAGAGUUCACAAUAUCAGAACUAUGUGACUGUAGAAAUAGUUAAAUUUUCAUUCUUAUGAAACUUAGUAGCUGUUCAUUCAUACAGAUCUCUUUAGAAAGUAGCAAAUGCCUUUUAACUUUAAUAAAUGAAAGAUGCAGUUCUUCUUGGACAGGACUUUUUAAAAAAAUGUAUGAGUUUUCCUUUAUGAAAUUAUUACAAGGGAAAAUUUCGACAUAGUCUUGCAGACAGUAGUGCAUGUGGUGGCCUCUGCAAGUGUUUGUCAAGAGUAGCGGUCAUCACUAAGACAUGUUCUUAAUGCUGUCACUUGGCUAUUAAAAUCUUAUAUUCUUCUUGAACAAUAUUUUACAUGUGCAACUCUUUGGAAUAAAUGUUUGAGGCUUCCA
This is a long non-coding RNA of Pomacea canaliculata, 1180 nucleotides long. RefSeq lists it as uncharacterized. NCBI's taxonomy places the organism in Eukaryota, Metazoa, Mollusca, Gastropoda, Architaenioglossa, Ampullariidae. The transcript has 3 exons. The record is from RefSeq and is a predicted model, not a curated record.